This 839-nucleotide ribosomal RNA is filed under the name uncultured bacterium. RNAcentral's name for it is "bacterial SSU rRNA". It matches the Rfam family "Bacterial small subunit ribosomal RNA", at positions 42 to 876 of the family's 1533-position model. The record is from RNAcentral.
GCGUGCUUAACACAUGCAAGUCUACGAGAAAGGUGUAGCAAUAUGCCGAAGUAAAGUGGCGCAAGGGUGAGUAACACGUAGGUAAUUUGCCUCAAGGCCAAGGGAUAACAUCGCGAAAGCGGUGCUAAUACCUUAUAAAGCAUAGCUUACACAAGUAAAGCAAUGUUAAAAGGGCCAUACCGCCUUGAGAUAAGCCUGCGUCCGAUUAGCUAGUUGGUAGGGUAAUGGCCUACCAAGGCGACGAUCGGUAGCUGGUCUGAGAGGAUGAUCAGCCACACUGGAACUGAGACACGGUCCAGACUCCUACGGGAGGCAGCAGUGAGGAAUAUUGGGCAAUGCCCGCAAGGGUGACCCAGCAACGCCGCGUGAAGGAUGGAAUCCUUUUGGAUGUAAACUUCUGUUGGAGAGGACGAAAAUCUUGGCACACCAAGAAUUGACUGUACUCUCAAAGAAAGCACCGGCUAACUACGUGCCAGCAGCCGCGGUAAUACGUAGGGUGCAAGCGUUGUCCGGAUUUACUGGGUAUAAAGGGCGCGCAGGCGGAUCUGUAAGUCAUAAGUGAAAUCUUCUCGCUUAACGAGAAAACUGCUUUUGAUACUAUAGAUCUUGAGAGCGGUAGAGGAGGAUGGAAUUUCAGGUGUAGCGGUGAAAUGCGUAGAUAUCUGAAAGAACACCAGUAGCGAAGGCGAUCCUCUGGGCCGUUUCUGACGCUCAGGCGCGAAAGCGUGGGUAGCAAACAGGAUUAGAUACCCUGGUAGUCCACGCUGUAAACGAUGGAUACUAGAUGUUGGUUUAAUAUAAAUCAGCGUCGAAGCUAACGCAUUAAGUAUCCCACCUGG